Molecule: ribosomal RNA, 454 nt
Filed under: Siphula ceratites
Lineage: Eukaryota; Fungi; Ascomycota; Lecanoromycetes; Pertusariales; Icmadophilaceae
Description: partial 18S ribosomal RNA
Rfam family: Group I catalytic intron (bases 101-409)
About the family: Group I catalytic introns are large self-splicing ribozymes. They catalyse their own excision from mRNA, tRNA and rRNA precursors in a wide range of organisms. The core secondary structure consists of 9 paired regions (P1-P9).
Source: RNAcentral
UUGAAUGGUCAGUGAUGGUCACAUCCUUCCAUUGGGAUUCUCUAUACUGAAGCCUUUGCAGCCCCGCAAGGGGUCUUCCUUUCGACGAUAAACAAAGGAUUCAUGCAAGUUGGAAUUCUCCUCGCCGAGUUUUCUAGCAACACAAUCGAAUUGACGGGGAGACCCUAAAACCUACAUCACUACCCACUGAGGGAAACUUCAGUGGUAUCCCGUGCGAAAGACACGGGGGAGAGUAACAGAAUGUGGGGUACCUCUGAUCCUUCGGGGUUGGUAAAGAUGGGCAAUCCGCAGCGAAGGUUCUAAGUGCUUCUCGAAGCAUAUGAGCAACGUUCACAGACUAAGUGGUUGUGGGUGGAAGCCUUGGUGGCUUCCGCUUAAGAUAUAGUCGGGCUCUGUGGGGAAACCCCAGAGAUGAAUCAAACCGUUCCGUAGGUGAACCUGCGGAAGGAUCAUU